This 555-nucleotide ribosomal RNA is filed under the name Trichoderma harzianum. RNAcentral describes it as "eukaryotic LSU rRNA". The stretch from base 166 to 319 matches the Rfam family "5.8S ribosomal RNA". Lineage: Eukaryota; Fungi; Ascomycota; Sordariomycetes; Hypocreales; Hypocreaceae. The record is from RNAcentral.
CCAAACUGUUGCCUCGGCGGGAUCUCUGCCCCGGGUGCGUCGCAGCCCCGGACCAAGGCGCCCGCCGGAGGACCAACCAAAACUCUUUUUGUAUACCCCCUCGCGGGUUUUUUUAUAAUCUGAGCCUUCUCGGCGCCUCUCGUAGGCGUUUCGAAAAUGAAUCAAAACUUUCAACAACGGAUCUCUUGGUUCUGGCAUCGAUGAAGAACGCAGCGAAAUGCGAUAAGUAAUGUGAAUUGCAGAAUUCAGUGAAUCAUCGAAUCUUUGAACGCACAUUGCGCCCGCCAGUAUUCUGGCGGGCAUGCCUGUCCGAGCGUCAUUUCAACCCUCGAACCCCUCCGGGGGGUCGGCGUUGGGGAUCGGCCCUGCCUCUUGGCGGUGGCCGUCUCCGAAAUACAGUGGCGGUCUCGCCGCAGCCUCUCCUGCGCAGUAGUUUGCACACUCGCAUCGGGAGCGCGGCGCGUCCACAGCCGUUAAACACCCAACUUCUGAAAUGUUGACCUCGGAUCAGGUAGGAAUACCCGCUGAACUUAAGCAUAUCAAUAAGCGGAGGAA